CUGCCUCUCUCAGCAGUAAUUAAUUGCUUAGUCUGGGGUGGGUGAGGUCUCAUGAAAUUCCCAUCAUCCAUGUUGGCACGUCAUCAGAUACUAUUACUGCUCAGGUCUUGCUUAAGCAGCGGUGUUGUUGAGAGUUUUUGCAUGUAGCUUCCCUGUCACAAAUAGACCUUCAGUCCAGCAGCAGACUUCCUGGCCCUUGCUUACUUACUCUUGCCUCCCCUUUUCUGUGAUGCUUUCUGGACAGUAGGUGUAGGAAUUGUGUUGAAUCAGCUAGAAAUGGGUGCUCCACAGUCAGUUAUCCCUGAAUUUUGGCCAUUUUUUUCCUAGACAUAGUUUUUGUAUGUAGCCCUGGCUGUCCUGGAAUUCAUUCUGUAGACCAGGCUGGCCUCAAAGUUAGAGGUCCUCUUGUCUCUGCCUCCAAAAUGCUGGGAUUAAAGGCGUGUGCCUCUAUGCCAGGCAAAAGAGAAGCUUCUUUGAUGAGGGUUGGAUGGUAUACUUCUCUGUGGGUAUGAGAAGUCCUUAGAGGGCAAUUAGAAAUUAUACUGGUUUAAGGAAGUGAUACUAGUAGGAUCUUCUCUAAGAUCCAUAACCUUACUAGUUACAGGUAUUUGGCUAGGUUUCCAUUACAUGACAUGGUUUUCCUCUAACUUAGUGAGCGUUAAGUCCAUUUAGACAGCAGUUGGUUGCUGCCAAGAUGUAAGCACCAUGAUUGCACCUUUUGGGAUAUCUUGCCAUAAUAGUCACUGUGGUGGUUCACACUCAUCACAGUUAUGGGGGACUAUUGAUCACUUUCUUCCCUUGGUGGCUUGCAUGGAACCGUCUGAUACUAUGAAAGCUAGUCUUCAGGGAGGAGGUUUUCGGGACAGAUCCAGCUUGAAUCCUCUGAGUCUUAUGUCCAAAGUGUGUGCGAUAUUUAACAACAGGCAAUAGAGACUUACCUUCAACUUCUGGGAAGCAACAGCAAUAGUCUGUAUUAUUUUAAAAGUCUCUUGGAUUACCCUGACCAAUACCUCAAAAGGAGGUUUUUCAUGCCUUGUGCUGGUUUGUUUAUUUGUUUGUUUCAGAUAGCCUAUGGCUCUUCCGGGGAGCAUUAUGGUCCAAGUGGCAUAAUUUUAUUUAAAUUAUGUACAUAUGUAUAUGUAGUGAUGUUCUGGAAUUUUGGUUUCUUUAAAAACACAGAAAUAUUAUAAGCAUAUGUUUUUGUUUUAAUCCCAGGUUUGUGCUGUGGUGCUGCUUCAACUGUCUGCAGUAUCAGACUAUGAUUUGCCUCAUGCUCAAGCAGAGGCAUGGCUUUGCCAGCUGCAGAUAAUUUCUGUGAUUGGGUGACAUUUGGAACUCUGGGAACUUUUCAGAGGAUGUAUAAAUGUUAGGGCUUCGAGAGGCAGGGUUGGUAGUUGGUGGUCUUUUAGGGAGGUUGGUUGUGGUUUGUUGGUAGUUGUGCUUAAAGAAGAAACAAGAAGAAAGAAAUUAGGUUCAGGGAUUUUCCUAUUUCUUCUCUCCCUUCAAUCCUUCUUUCUGUACAGGGGGAUACAGGUGAGAACAAAAAGAAUCCACAAAAUAGCAAAGACAAGCUACAAGUGGCAUCUCAAUGUGGAGCUCAGAAGUUAAGACUCAACAUGGGAAAUCUGAUUUCAAAUGCUGUAGAGGAAAUGGAUCAAACACUCAGAACUAGUUUGGCUUGGAGCACCUUGGAAAAGGCAAUGAAUCAGGGUGGCCUCUUCCAAAGCUUCUUGGAUGAGUCCAAUUCUCCAAAGAGCCCAGAAUCAAACACCUCAGAACUAACUUGGCUUGGAGCAUCUUGGGAAAGGCAACGAAUCAGAGUGGCCUCUUUCAAGGCUUAUUCUCCAAAAAGUCCAGGAGAUUCAAAGAAGAUGACCCUGAACUUGAAGUAUUUAGAGGGAUGAUGCUGAAUGGAUGCUGUGAAGAGGAACCAGGUUAUGGCCAGUCUGUGCUUCAGGUCUGAAGAAACAAAAGAAAAAUAGUGAGGGUGUGACUGGGGAAUCUGGAGGCUUUAGCAACACUGACUGUCCUCAUGGAGAAGCUGGAGGCUUUAGCGACUGCCGGUUCCCAGCAUUCAGCAUGAUCCCAUCUUCCAGUGCCAUGUGUGUUGCAAGCAGCGAGACCCACAACCUGCUCUAACAAGGGGGGUAGGGGGGGUGCAUCUUGGCUUCUCCUCAUACAGGUCCCGAGCCACAGUGGGGAAAGAGAGCCAUCUUUGCAUUACAAAGGAGAGUGUCCGCUCACUCAAAGCCUGGAUGUGACAUUACUGAGACACUGUCACUAGGGGUCCAGGCUCCCAACUGAUAUCCUGGGCAAGGUCAUGUGUCACCUCAUUCCCCAUUUUUCCUGACAUUAGUCCCCAAGCCUAGCUGUUACCCAGCAAGCUUUUCACUCUUCAGCCUCGCUCAAGGCUUUCAGCAACAUGUCUUAGAACCCUGCCUCCCCAGCUUGCCCCUGUCCCCAGACCAGUUUCUCCCCCUUUCCUCAAUAGUGUGUGAAAGGAAAAGGAAUUCCCGUUAUCCUCAGGUCUCCAGAAGGACAAGCCUCAAAGUGUGAACAGAAAGUGCUUGCCAAGUGCGCCCAAGUGGUUAUUUUAAUCGUGUGGAACAAGUCCCCUCUUCAUGGAAAAUUUUCUACUCUAACACCUGCAGCAUUAAAGGCGUCCUGGCUCCUUCUCCCCUGGGCUACCAGGACUCACUCUUUUACCAGGGCAGGAUGCCAACUCAGAACCAACAUGCAGACAUGAGUGGUGCCCGCCCCUUCAGCAAAGUCUUCUCUGGGAUCCCUGGAUCAGGCUUGUCCCUGCCCUCUGGUUGUGUUCCUCUGCUCCCUUCCUGUUUCAUUUGGUUAACACAGAACCUGGGGCUCGAUUUGUGUAGGACUGACAUGGCAUCUUUGUGGAAUAAACCCAUGGGCGCCUUGCUCUUCAACAUACACCCCAGCCACUCCGUGCUUCUGACCUUACUGAGUAGGACCAACCAAGCAGUGUUGCUCCCAGGAUACUCUGAGUUAUUUAACAUGUUUCCUGUCUUGUCUUCUGCCAUAGACAACCCAUCACCUGUUCACGUGCUGUGUGCCAGCUAGCAUCAUGUCCAGGGCAGUCAUAAACGAUCCACCCACACAGCAGCAUCAGCACAAGUGGGGUAGGGCCAUUAACGGAGCGAUGGGGCGGACUGCCUGAUUCUCUAGCCUCCUGGUUAGGAUUUGCAUGAUUGCCCCGGAGGGUGGAUUCUAUGGAGCUGCACUAAUUUAGAAACUGCACACACAGCUAUGCUGCUUUGUAGAGAUGGGAGCUGAGAGUGUGUCUGUGUGUCUGUGUGUGUCCUUGGGUACACAUGUGGGUAUAUGUUGAGACUAGAGAUCUAGUGUUUUCUACAGUCACUCUUCACCGUACGUUUGAGACAGGUUCUCUCACUGAACCUUGAGCUUACAGAUUCUGGUGCACUGGCUGGUCAGAAGUUCCCAGGACGGUCCUGCCUCUGCCUCCCCAGCUCUAGAAUUAAAGGCUCAGGCCACCUUACAGGCUUUUAUGUUGAUCCUGGGGAUGGAACUCAGGUCCACAUGUUUACAUCAUAAACACUUGGUUGACUGAGUCAUCUCCACAGUCCCUAGUAGCUGAUCUGUGUGUAGUGCUCUGUCCUCCUGUCAGGCCAUUUGGAGGACCAUUUCUCUUUAUGACCAAGAACCAGUUUAUAGUCCAGGAGUCAUAGGGGAGGCCUUGAAAAUAGUCUGGACUAUGGGGCUGGAGAGUGGCUCAGUGGUUAAGAGCACUGUCUGCUCUUCCAGAGGACCUGAGUUCAAUUCCCAGCAUCCACCUGGUGCUUACAACCAUCUGUAAUGGAAUCUAAUACUCUCUUCUGGCAUGCAGAUGCGUAUGCAGACAGAACACUCAUGCAUAAAAGAAAAUAAAUUAAAAAGAAAAUAGUCUGGACUAAAUCUGACCCAAGAAUUGUCACCACCCAAAUGCCUGUGGGGUUCAAGUAUCGGUGGUAAAAAUGCACACAGUAGGCCAGCAAGAAAGCAACUUAUAGCAUAAGUCCAACAACCUGUAUUUGAUCCUGGGACAUAGAACGGAGAUAACAGACUUCUGAAAGUUGUGCCCUGACUGCCAUAUGCAUGGUGUAGCACAUACACAUUCACCCUCACACAUUCGCAUCACACACAAACACACACACACACACACACACACACACACACACACACACACCAGUAUUUUCUAAAGUCUGAGAUGAUUGGGACAGGAAAUAGGAGGCCAUUGGGUAGGAUAGUGGCUUUAUACUUUUCCAGUAUAAAGAAAAGAACCAGGGGCCUGACACGGGGUUGGUGACACAGGAAAAGACUGUGACUGGGAAGGAGCAGCACCAUGGAUGCCCAAAAACAGCCUGAGACAGUGUGUGUAUUCACUCAGCUUGGGCAAAAGCUAAAAUACACAAUUCCCCUCCAAGUUGCCUUUGGUUACACUGUUUAUCAUAACAGUGCAAAGUGUGGUGGUUUGAAUAUGCUUGGCCCAUGUGAAAUGACACUGUUAGGAGGUAUGGCCUUGUUGGAGUAGGUGUAGCUUUGUUGGAGGAAGUGUGUCUCCAUGAGGGGGGUCUUUGAGGUUUUCAAGUGCUCAAACACCACACAGUGUGAAAGAUAGUCUCCUAGCUGCCUGCAGAAGAGUUUUCUCCUGGUUGCCUUCAGAUCAAGAUAUAGAAUUCCUCCAGCUCUUUGUCUGCCUGCAUGAUGCUGUGUUUCCAUCCAUGAUGAUAAUGUAUUGAACCUCCAAAACUGUAAGCCAGCCCCAAUUAAAUGUUUUCAUUUAUAAGA
Rattus norvegicus (Norway rat) is the source of this 4809-nucleotide non-coding RNA. The record is from RefSeq and is a predicted model, not a curated record. NCBI's taxonomy places the organism in Eukaryota, Metazoa, Chordata, Mammalia, Rodentia, Muridae.